RNAcentral lists this ribosomal RNA (253 nucleotides) under uncultured bacterium. RNAcentral describes it as "partial 16S ribosomal RNA". It matches the Rfam family "Bacterial small subunit ribosomal RNA", at positions 524 to 776 of the family's 1533-position model. The record is from RNAcentral.
UACAGAGGUCUCAAGCGUUGUUCGGAUUUAUUGGGCGUAAAGGGUGCGCAGGCUGUAUGGUAAGUUUGGUGUGAAAUCCUGGGGCUUAACCCCAGAAUUGCACUGAAUACUGCCGUGCUAGAGGACUGGAGAGGAGAUUGGAAUUCACGGUGUAGCAGUGAAAUGCGUAGAUAUCGUGAGGAAGACCAGUGGCGAAGGCGAAUCUCUGGACAGUUCCUGACGCUCAUGCACGAAGGCCAGGGGAGCAAACGGG